Molecule: ribosomal RNA, 372 nt
Filed under: uncultured eukaryote
Lineage: Eukaryota
Description: partial 18S ribosomal RNA
Rfam family: Eukaryotic small subunit ribosomal RNA
Source: RNAcentral
CAAUAGCGUAUAUUAAUGUUGUUGCAGUUAAAAAGCUCGUAGUUGAAUUUUUGCUUGCCGCCGAUGUCGGAACUUCCGUACGUUCGGCGGCGUGCAUCCUUGGGUGGAACCUGUGUGGCAUUAGGUUGUCGUGCAGGGGAUGCUCAUCGUUUACUGUGAAAAAAUUAGAGUGUUCAAAGCAGGCUUACGCCGUUGAAUAUAUUAGCAUGGAAUAAUAAGAUAGGACCUUGGUACUAUUUUGUUGGUUUGCGCACCGAGGUAAUGAUUAACAGGGACAGUUGGGGGUAUUCCAUUCCAUUGUCAGAGGUGAAAUUCUUGGAUUUCUGGAAGACGAACUACUGCGAAAGCAUUUACCAAGGAUGUUUUCAUUAA